UGUCUUUUAACACAUUAUUUUUCCUUGGCCAAUUAAUUAGUUUUGAAAAGGUCAGUCUUUUAAGUCCACUAAGUAGUGUCUUUAUUAAUCUUCUAUUUCUUCUGUUAUAUUCACCUCUUUUACUUCUCAUGUCAUCAAGAUGUUCCUCCACUUUCCCCUGUCAAUAAUUCACUUGCAUGAAGAUUUAGUUAUCUGACAGUGUGUGUUUGCUGAUUUUUCCCUUUGCGUUCUCUGAUUAUCUCAUCUUUUUCCUGUUACAAGUCCUAAGAUCCACAAGACAUAUCUUUAUUUUUUCCACUUCCUUUAGGUUGGUGUGACUCAGCUUCUCUUCCAGGUCAAUCCAGUAUACCCCAACAGAGGCACCCAGGUGUGCUUUUAUUGAGACCUGCUCUGACUGCCUAGCAUGAGGAAGAGAACAUUUUCAGUUCAUAUCGUACAGGGAAGGAGGUGAAGGGAACAUUUGAGCUAUCCAAGGUUGAAUUUAAGGAAGAAGAAUAUGGAGCUGGAAAAGUCAUGUGCUUGUGGAGAAGGGAUGAUCACUCAUUACGAGAGAAGAUGGUUUUCAAGAAAACUGGAGAUAAGUAAAGGUACAAGUAAACAGUUGAAAUCAGGAAGUUUGAAACUGGUUUGGAGAAAGGAUAUCCUCUAGUGAAUAAAGCCAUGAACAGCAUAGUUUUUUCCCUAGUAAAGAAUUGAAAUUAACUAAAGCACAGACAACUACAGCAUAAUUAUUUAUGCUGGUAUUAAAUAUAAAUCUAAAUACUUGGAAUAUGCAUAAUGUUCUCUUAAGUUCACUAGAAGAAAAGCUGCAUCUUGUGCAAUAAAAGAAACAAAUAAAAGCAGAUCUUUAAACAUGAAAUAUGACUGUAUGGGCUUUCAUGGUUCUUUUCAUAACCCUCUUUAUGCAUUUUAUUUUUUUUAAUUAAAUCUUUUACUGACGUUUACAGAUGUAAAAAAAAUCUAUACCAUAUGUAUAGCUUUUAAGGGGAAGGGUUGUCUAUAGAAGAUGAUAUUGGCUUAUAAGUAAAAGUAUAUUAAAAUUUGAUGUUCAAUAAAGCAAGAUGCAACUUACCAACAUG
This is a long non-coding RNA of Pezoporus occidentalis (night parrot), 1079 nucleotides long. RefSeq lists it as uncharacterized. Lineage: Eukaryota; Metazoa; Chordata; Aves; Psittaciformes; Psittacidae. The transcript has 2 exons. The record is from RefSeq and is a predicted model, not a curated record.